UACGAAGGGGGCUAGCGUUGCUCGGAAUUACUGGGCGUAAAGGGCGCGUAGGCGGCACACACAGUCAGGCGUGAAAUUCCUGGGCUCAACCUGGGGGCUGCGCUUGAUACGUGUGAGCUAGAGGACGGGAGAGGCUCGUGGAAUUCCCAGUGUAGAGGUGAAAUUCGUAGAUAUUGGGAAGAACACCGGUGGCGAAGGCGGCGAGCUGGCCCGUAACUGACGCUGAGGAGCGAAAGCCAGGGGAGCAAACGGG
This 253-nucleotide ribosomal RNA is filed under the name uncultured bacterium. RNAcentral describes it as "partial 16S ribosomal RNA". It matches the Rfam family "Bacterial small subunit ribosomal RNA", at positions 524 to 776 of the family's 1533-position model. The record is from RNAcentral.